This 458-nucleotide ribosomal RNA is filed under the name uncultured bacterium. RNAcentral describes it as "partial 16S ribosomal RNA". It matches the Rfam family "Bacterial small subunit ribosomal RNA", at positions 338 to 795 of the family's 1533-position model. The record is from RNAcentral.
CCUAUGGGUGGCAGCAGUGAGGAAUAUUGGUCAAUGGGCGGGAGCCUGAACCAGCCAUGCCGCGUGAAGGCGAGUGCCCUACGGGCGUUAAACUUCUUUUGUGCGGGAGCAAUAAGGGCCACGCGUGGCCCGAUGAGAGUACCGCACGAAUAAGCAUCGGCUAACUCCGUGCCAGCAGCCGCGGUAAUACGGAGGAUGCGAGCGUUAUCCGGAUUUAUUGGGUUUAAAGGGUGCGUAGGCGGUCCGUUAAGUCAGCGGUAAAAUUGCGGGGCUCAACCCCGUCGAGCCGUUGAAACUGGCAGACUUGAGUUGGCGAGAAGUACGCGGAAUGCGCGGUGUAGCGGUGAAAUGCAUAGAUAUCGCGCAGAACUCCGAUUGCGAAGGCAGCGUACCGGCGCCAGACUGACGCUGAGGCACGAAAGCGUGGGGAUCGAACAGGAUUAGAUACCCGUGUAGUC